RNAcentral lists this ribosomal RNA (505 nucleotides) under uncultured bacterium. Its description in RNAcentral is "partial 16S ribosomal RNA". It matches the Rfam family "Bacterial small subunit ribosomal RNA", at positions 28 to 507 of the family's 1533-position model. The record is from RNAcentral.
GACGAACGCUGGCGGCGUGCCUAAUACAUGCAAGUAGAACGCACAGUUUAUACCGUAGCUUGCUACACCAUAAACUGUGAGUUGCGAACGGUUGAGUAACGCGUAGGUAACCUGCCUGGUAGCGGGGGAUAACUCUUGGAAACGAUAGCUAAUACCGCAUAAUAUUGAUUUUUCCAUGAUAAUUGAUUGAAAGAUGCUAUUGCAUCACUAGCAGAUGGAUCUGCUUUGUAUUAGCUAGUAGGUUAGGUAACGGCUCACCUACGUGACGAUACAUAGCCGACCUGAGAGAGUGGUCAGCCACACUGGGACUGAGACGAGACCCAGGCUUCUACGGGAGGCAGCAGUAGGGAAUCUUCGGGAAUGGACGAAAGGCUGACCGAGCAACGCCGCGUGAGUGAAGAAGGGUUUCGGAUCGUAAAGCUCCGUUGUAAGAGAAGAACGGGUGUGAGAGUGGAAAGUUCACACUGUGACGGUAUCUUACCAGAAAGGGACGGCUAACUACGUG